GACGCUGACGAGCGGCGGACGGGUGAGUAAUGCAUAGGAAUCUGCCCGGUAGUGGGGGAUAACCUGGGGAAACCCAGGCUAAUACCGCAUACGUCCUACGGGAGAAAGGGGGCUUCGGCUCGCGCUAUCGGAUGAGCCUAUGCCGGAUUAGCUGGUUGGUGGGGUAAUGGCCCACCAAGGCGACGAUCCGUAGCUGGUCUGAGAGGAUGAUCAGCCACAUCGGGACUGAGACACGGCCCGAACUCCUACGGGAGGCAGCAGUGGGGAAUAUUGGACAAUGGGGGCAACCCUGAUCCAGCCAUGCCGCGUGUGUGAAGAAGGCCUUCGGGUUGUAAAGCACUUUCAGCGAGGAAGAACGCCUGGUGGUUAAUACCCACCAGGAAAGACAUCACUCGCAGAAGAAGCACCGGCUAACUCCGUGCCAGCAGCCGCGGUAAUACGGAGGGUGCAAGCGUUAAUCGGAAUUACUGGGCGUAAAGCGCGCGUAGGUGGCUUGAUAAGCCGGUUGUGAAAGCCCCGGGCUCAACCUGGGAACGGCAUCCGGAACUGUCAAGCUAGAGUACAGGAGAGGAAGGUAGAAUUCCCGGUGUAGCGGUGAAAUGCGUAGAGAUCGGGAGGAAUACCAGUGGCGAAGGCGGCCUUCUGGACUGAUACUGACACUGAGGUGCGAAAGCGUGGGUAGCAAACAGGAUUAGAUACCCUGGUAGUCCACGCCGUAAACGAUGUCGACCAGCCGUUGAGUGCCUAGCGCACUUUGUGGCGAAGUUAACGCGAUAAGUCGACCGCCUGGGGAGUACGGCCGCAAGGUUAAAGCCGC
Molecule: ribosomal RNA, 817 nt
Filed under: Halomonas sp.
Lineage: Bacteria; Pseudomonadati; Pseudomonadota; Gammaproteobacteria; Oceanospirillales; Halomonadaceae
Description: bacterial SSU rRNA
Rfam family: Bacterial small subunit ribosomal RNA
Source: RNAcentral